This 523-nucleotide ribosomal RNA is filed under the name uncultured bacterium. RNAcentral's name for it is "bacterial SSU rRNA". It matches the Rfam family "Bacterial small subunit ribosomal RNA", at positions 8 to 526 of the family's 1533-position model. The record is from RNAcentral.
AGGGUUCGAUCCUGGCUCAGAUUGAACGCUGGCGGUAGGCUUAACACAUGCAAGUCGUGCGAGAAAGUAUCUUCGGAUAUGAGUAGAGCGGCGGACGGGUGAGUAACGCGUAGGAAUCUACCUAGUAGAAGGGGAUAGCCCGGGGAAACCCGGAUUAAUACCGUAUACCUCCUUCGGGAGAAAGAAGGCCUCUCUUUGAAGCUUUCGCUAUUAGAUGAGCCUGCGUAAGAUUAGCUUGUUGGUGAGGUAAAGGCUCACCAAGGCGACGAUCUUUAGCUGGUCUGAGAGGACGAUCAGCCACAUUGGGACUGAGACACGGCCCAGACUCCUACGGGAGGCAGCAGUGGGGAAUAUUGGACAAUGGGCGCAAGCCUGAUCCAGCCAUACCGCGUGUGUGAAGAAGGCCUUCGGGUUGUAAAGCACUUUAAGCAGGGAGAAAAAGUUAUAAGUUAAUACCUUAUAACCGUGAUGUUACCUGCAGAAUAAGCACCGGCUAAUUCCGUGCCAGCCGCCGCGGUAAUAC